RNAcentral lists this ribosomal RNA (533 nucleotides) under uncultured Acaulospora. RNAcentral describes it as "SSU rRNA". It matches the Rfam family "Eukaryotic small subunit ribosomal RNA", at positions 561 to 1092 of the family's 1831-position model. Lineage: Eukaryota; Fungi; Glomeromycota; Glomeromycetes; Diversisporales; Acaulosporaceae. The record is from RNAcentral.
CUGGUGCCAGCAGCCGCGGUAAUUCCAGCUCCAAUAGCGUAUAUUAAAGUUGUUGCAGUUAAAAGCUCGUAGUUGAAUUUCGGAAUCUGUCCAUCGGUCGGGCUUCUGUCCGUACUGGUGUGGUGGGUUCUUACCUCUGAAUAACCAGCAUGCCAUUCACUUGGUGCGUUGGGGAAGCAGGACUAUUACCUUGAAAAAAUUAGAGUGCUCAAAGCAGGCCAGUGCCUGGAUACAUUAGCAUGGAAUAAUAAAAUAGGACGGCUUGGUUACUAUUUUGUUGGGUUUCUAGGGAUCACCGUAAUGAUUAAUAGGGAUAGUUGGGGGCAUUAGUAUUCAAUUGUCAGAGGUGAAAUUCUUGGAUUUAUUGAAGACUAACUUCUGCGAAAGCAUUUGCCAAGGAUGUUUUCAUUAAUCAAGAACGAAAGUUAGGGGGAUCGAAGACGAUCAGAUACCGUCGUAGUCUUAACCAUAAACUAUGCCGACUAGGGGAUCGGACGAUGUUAAUUUUUUAAUGACUCGUUCGGCGCCUUACG